GACGAACGCUGGCGGCGUGCCUAAUACAUGCAAGUCGAACGCUUCUUUCCUCCCGAGUGCUUGCACUCAAUUGGAAAGAGGAGUGGCGGACGGGUGAGUAACACGUGGGUAACCUACCCAUCAGAGGGGGAUAACACUUGGAAACAGGUGCUAAUACCGCAUAACAGUUUAUGCCGCAUUGCAUAAGAGUGAAAGGCGCUUUCGUGUGUCGCUGAUGGAUGGACCCGCGGUGCAUUAGCUAGUUGGUGAGGUAACGGCUCACCAAGGCCACGAUGCAUAGCCGACCUGAGAGGGUGAUCGGCCACACUGGGACUGAGACACGGCCCAGACUCCUACGGGAGGCAGCAGUAGGGAAUCUUCGGCAAUGGACGAAAGUCUGACCGAGCAACGCCGCGUGAGUGAAGAAGGUUUUCGGAUCGUAAAACUCUGUUGUUAGAGAAGAACAAGGACGUUAGUAACUGAACGUCCCCUGACGGUAUCUAACCAGAAAGCCACGGCUAACUACGUG
RNAcentral lists this ribosomal RNA (508 nucleotides) under uncultured bacterium. RNAcentral's name for it is "partial 16S ribosomal RNA". It matches the Rfam family "Bacterial small subunit ribosomal RNA", at positions 28 to 507 of the family's 1533-position model. The record is from RNAcentral.